GAUAAACGCUGGCAGUGUACAUAAGACAUGCAAGUCGAACGGGAGAAGACAGGAAGAUUUAUCUACUUGUUGAACACCGUGGCGGACGGGUGAGUAACACGUAAGCAACCUGCCUAUAAGAGGGGAAUAACAGUGAGAAAUUACUGAUAAUACCGCAUAAGCUGGAGGUAUCGCAUGAUACAUUCAGAAAAGAUUUAUCGCUUAUAGAUGGGCUUGCGUCUGAUUAGCUAGUUGGUGAGAUAACAGCUCACCAAGGCGACGAUCAGUAGCCGGAUUGAGAGGUUGAACGGCCACAUUGGGACUGAGACACGGCCCAGACUCCUACGGGAGGCAGCAGUCGGGAAUAUUGCACAAUGGAGGAAACUCUGAUGCAGUGACACCGCGUAUAGGAAGAAGGUCUUAGGAUUGUAAGCUAUUGUUCGUGUGAGAAAGAAAAUGACC
RNAcentral lists this ribosomal RNA (441 nucleotides) under Clostridiales bacterium oral taxon 075. Its description in RNAcentral is "bacterial SSU rRNA". It matches the Rfam family "Bacterial small subunit ribosomal RNA", at positions 28 to 458 of the family's 1533-position model. Lineage: Bacteria; Bacillati; Bacillota; Clostridia; Eubacteriales. The record is from RNAcentral.